UACGUAGGGGGCUAGCGUUAUCCGGAAUUACUGGGUGUAAAGGGUGCGUAGGUGGUUUCUUAAGUCAGAGGUGAAAGGCUACGGCUCAACCGUAGUAAGCCUUUGAAACUGGGGAACUUGAGUGCAGAAGAGGAGAGUGGAAUUCCUAGUGUAGCGGUGAAAUGCGUAGAUAUUAGGAGGAACACCAGUUGCGAAGGCGGCUCUCUGGACUGUAACUGACACUGAGGCACGAAAGCGUGGGGAGCAAACAGG
RNAcentral lists this ribosomal RNA (252 nucleotides) under uncultured bacterium. Its description in RNAcentral is "partial 16S ribosomal RNA". It matches the Rfam family "Bacterial small subunit ribosomal RNA", at positions 524 to 776 of the family's 1533-position model. The record is from RNAcentral.